Molecule: long non-coding RNA, 802 nt
Organism: Polypterus senegalus (gray bichir)
Lineage: Eukaryota; Metazoa; Chordata; Cladistia; Polypteriformes; Polypteridae
Exons: 3
Source: RefSeq, a predicted model, not a curated record
UAAUUGACAUUAAUUACACCCUCUUCCGCAUUCCUCGUAAGCCUGUUGCCUCACUUCCGGCGCUAAUAUCAAAUACAGCUACGGCGUUUUUUACCCGAUCUCUUCAAGCAGUUACGUUAAACGACAUAACUCGUAUUAUUCAAACAUUGUACCAGAUCUCAGGAGCUGUAAAGGAGAAGGGCAACAAACUAAAUGUUUUAAGCUACCAUCACAAUUAAGAAGUCCAAUUCCUGACUGACUUACCUACCUGAACCACCUCAACCAUGGAUGAAGAUCAGAACAGGAAGCCAAAAGAGCAAAAUGAAGUAACAUUAAGAAGGGUCUUGGUUUGGAACAGAGAGGAAUCGAUGAAUAAAAUAGCCAAUUGGGAGAAAAGUGGCAAGGACAAGUUUCAACCUUCACCCUUCUGCCUCACAACAAAAGUCCACCUCACGCACUGCACAAGUUGCAACGUCUGCUUUGUGAAGCUGUGGGCUGGAAGAGAUGCUACACUCAACCCUAUUUCUCCAGGCUUGGCCAUGUGUGACUAUCACCUGCUCCUCGAUCUGAAAGGCUAUCUCUGUGGAACACACUGUACCAGUCAUUGAGACAUCAGGCCAGCUAUAAAUGAGUGGCCACUCAAGACAAAACCUUUAAAUUAAUACACGUAGAAAAGGUUUGUGAAUGUUUUAAUAAGUGCAUUAAUGUUCACAAGGGGGCUAUACUGAAAAAUAAAAUGUGUUUCAUUUUACUGGCAUUUCUCUUAAUAAUUUAAUAUGCCAGGCUUAAAAUCCUUUGAUCACUCCUCAUUAAAGGAUUUCCU